CCUGUUGCUUUCACACUCUUCAGUCGAUCAGCCAUGGACAAAGGUUUGCUGCUGGUCCUGUUGUGUCUGCAGGUCGUCCUGCUCACCACAGCCUUCACUUCUGCUGAUGAAGCCGCUCUGCUGAGAGAUGAUCAGCAUCAACUCCAGCCUGUUGAUCCGACGACAAGUGUGCAGCAAGUGAAAGAAAGAGAACAGACAGAGAAGAAACCUUCACUGAGGGGACCCUGCGGGAUCAGACCAGGAGCAUGCACAUUGAUUGGAAAGGCACCUGAAGCCAACCAUUCUUAGACCAACAAUCUAGAGUGAAGCUCUGCACUGCCACCAGAUAUGGAAGCCUGCAAUCGGAUGAAGAUAACUGUAAUGCUUACAAAACAAUGCAAGUGCUUUUUAUAAAAAAAUAAAAUGUUUCAAAAUCA
Molecule: long non-coding RNA, 416 nt
Organism: Acanthochromis polyacanthus (spiny chromis)
Lineage: Eukaryota; Metazoa; Chordata; Actinopteri; Pomacentridae
Exons: 3
Source: RefSeq, a predicted model, not a curated record